UUUGGUUAGUUAGAACGGGCGCACGGUGGAUGCCUUACACUAGGAGUCGAUGAAAAAGGACGGGACUAACCGCCGAUAUGCUUCGGGAGCUGUAAGUAGCUUUGAUCCGAAGAUUUCCGAAUGGGGAAACCACCAUCCGUAUGGUAUGGUAUCCUUACUGAAUACAUGGGGGUAAGGAAGAACAUGACCCAGGAACUGAAACAUCAAUACCUGGAGGAAAGAAAGCAAAUGCGAUUUCCUGAGUAGCGGCAGCGAAACGGAAAUAGCCCAAACCAAGAGGCUUGCCUCUUGGGGUUGUAGGACAUUUCUAUACGGAGUUACAAAGGAACGAGGUAGACGAGCGACCUGGAAAGGUCGUCGUAGAGGGUAACACCCCGUAGUCGAAACUCGUUCUCUCUUGAAUGUAUCCUGAGUACGGCGGAACACGUGAAAUUCCGUCGGAAUUGGGAGGACCAUCUCCCAGGCUAAAUACUCCUAGUCGAUCGAUAGUGAACCAGUACGUGAGGAAAGGGUGAAAAGCACACCGAAGGGGAGUGAAAGAGAUCCUGAAACGUUGCCUACAAUAGUCAGAGCCGUUAACGGGUGAUGGCCGUGCCUUUUGUAGACGAACCGGCGAGUUACGAUCCCGUGCGAGGUUAAGCUGAAGCGCGGAGCCGCAGCGGAACGCGAGUCUGAAUAGGGCGUUAGUAGUGGUCGCAGACUCCGAAACCCAGGUGAUCUCCCAUGUCCAGGGUGAAGUUCAGGUAACACUGAAUGGAGGCCCGAACCCACGCACGUUGGAAAAGUGCGGGGAUGAGGUGUGGGUAGCGGAGAAAUUCCAAUCGAACCUGGAGAUAGCUGGUUCUCCCCGAAAUAGCUAGGGUACCUUAAGUGAAGAGUCUUGGAGGUCAGAGCACUGAUUGGACUAGGGGUCCUCAUUCGGAUUACCGAAUUCAGUCAAAAACUCCGAAUGCCAAUGCCUUAAUCCCUUAGGAGUCAGACUGCGAGUGGAUAAGAUCCGUAGUCAAAAGGGAAAACAGCCCAGGACCGCCAGCUAAGGUCCCCAAAGUGUGUAUUAAGUGGAAAAGGAUGUGGGAGUUGAUUAGACAACUAGGAUGUUGGCUUAGAAACAGCCACCAUUUGAAAGGUGGCGUAAAUAGCUCCCACUAGUCGAGUGACUCUGGCGCCGAAAUGUAGCGGGGCUAAAUACACCACCGAAGCUGCGGAUUGAUACCAAUGGUACAGUGGUAGGGGAGCGUUCUAAGGACAAGUGAAAGUCAGACCGUAAGGACUGUGGCUGCUAAGUGAGAAUGCCGGUAUGGAGUAGCGAAAGCCGGGUGAAAUCCGUCCACCGACUGCCUAAGGUUCUGAGAAGGUCUCGUCCGCUCAGGGUUAAGUCAGGACCUAAGCCGAGGCCGACAGGCGUAGGCGAUGGCCAACAGGUUUGAUAUUCCUGUACCACCUCUUUACGUUUGAGCAAUGGAGGAGCAGAAGGUAGAAGAGCGUGCGAUUGGUUGUGCACGUCCAGCGUUAGGCUGAUAAGUAAGGCAAAUCCGCUUACAUAAAGGCGAGCUGUGAUGGGGAAGCUCCUUAUGGACGAAGUCUUGGAUUCCCCGCUGCCAAGAAAGCUUCUAGCGAGAUAAAAGAGGUCUGUACGCAACCGACACAGGUAGGGCGAGGAAGAAUCCUAAGGUGUUGCGAGAGAACUCUGGUAAGGAAACUCGGCAAAAUGACCCCGUAACUUCGGGAAGAAGGGGUGCUUCUUAACGGAACGCCGCAGUGAAUAGGCCCCAAGCGACUGUUUAGCCAAAAACACAGCUCUCUGCGAAGCCGGUAAGGCGAAGUAUAGGGGUGACACUGCCCGGUGCUGAAGGUUAGGAGAGGGGUUAGCGUAAAGCGAAGCUCUGAACUGAGCCCCCAGUAACGGCGGC
This 1910-nucleotide ribosomal RNA is filed under the name Bacillus sp. UFRGS-B20. RNAcentral's name for it is "bacterial LSU rRNA". It matches the Rfam family "Bacterial large subunit ribosomal RNA", at positions 1 to 1934 of the family's 2925-position model. The record is from RNAcentral. Lineage: Bacteria; Bacillati; Bacillota; Bacilli; Caryophanales; Bacillaceae.